GACAGAGGAGCCAAGCGUUGUCCGGAUUGACUGGGCGUAAAGCGCACGCAGGCGGGGGCGCGCGUGGGGGGUGAAACCUGGCCGCUUAACGGCCAGCGGCCAUCCCAUACGGCGCGCCUGGAGCCUUGCAGAGGGCGGUGGAAUUGCCGGUGUAGUGGUGAAAUGCGUAGAGAUCGGAAGGAACGCCCGUGGCGAAAGCGAGGCCCUGGACGUCUGCUGACGCUGAGACGCGAAAGCUAGGGGAGCGAACGGG
RNAcentral lists this ribosomal RNA (253 nucleotides) under uncultured bacterium. RNAcentral's name for it is "partial 16S ribosomal RNA". It matches the Rfam family "Bacterial small subunit ribosomal RNA", at positions 524 to 776 of the family's 1533-position model. The record is from RNAcentral.